UCAGAAAGAAAGUACUUAACUCCACCACCAGCACCCAAAGCUGGCAUUCUAAUUUAAACUACUUCCUG
This 68-nucleotide transfer RNA is filed under the name Macaca fascicularis aureus. RNAcentral describes it as "tRNA-Pro". Lineage: Eukaryota; Metazoa; Chordata; Mammalia; Primates; Cercopithecidae. The record is from RNAcentral.